Molecule: RNA transcript, 3682 nt
Organism: Triticum dicoccoides
Lineage: Eukaryota; Viridiplantae; Streptophyta; Magnoliopsida; Poales; Poaceae
Gene name: phosphomethylpyrimidine synthase, chloroplastic-like
Exons: 7
Source: RefSeq, a predicted model, not a curated record
UCUCCGGCCGCCCCGGAUCCGCUAUAAAAAACCUCACUCAGUCGGCACCACUGGCCAGGCGCGCACUCCCAUCCCUUCUCCCCACUGCCAUCAGCCAACGCUUCCGGCCGCCCUCCCGCGCCGCUCGCCGGAUCCGCCGUUUCUCAGGAAAUGGCUGCACUGCAACCAUCGUUCUCGUCGCUAAUGGCUAUGAACAAUAGCUGCAACACCAUGAAGUUCCCCAAGACUGCACUUUUGCCUGGUUUCGGUGGCAUUUCGCGCCCUCAAGAUGUGCAGGACAGGAAUGCUAGCCUCACCUGUUCAAGGCCUAAGGCAGUUUCAGUGACUGAUCAGUCAGUAGCAGAGCCAGCAAAACCCAGGCAAUCGAAACAUACAGUUGAUCCUGCUGCUCCAGAAUUUCUGCCGCUCCCAGCAUUUGAAGAUUGCUUCCCACGGAGCACCAAAGAAUGCAGUGAAGUCGUUCAUGAGGAAUCAGGUCAUGCCCUGAAGGUUCCAUUUCGGAGAGUCCAUUUGACCGGAGAUAGCGGGCAUUUCGACACAUAUGACACCAGUGGUCCACAGAACAUAAGCCCAAGGCUUGGACUCCCAAAGAUAAGAAAGGAAUGGAUUGACAGGAGGGAGAAAUUGGGUAGUCCUCGGUACACCCAAAUGUACUAUGCUAAGCAGGGAAUCAUAACAGAGGAGAUGCUGUACUGUGCCAAACGUGAGAACCUUGCUCCUGAAUUUGUCCGAUCUGAAGUCGCCCGUGGACGAGCCAUUAUCCCUUCCAACAAGAGGCACCUGGAAUUGGAGCCCAUGAUUGUUGGAAGAAACUUCCUUGUGAAGGUGAAUGCAAACAUCGGGAACUCAGCUGUUGUGAGCUCCAUCGAGGAGGAAGUCCACAAGCUCCAGUGGGCCACAAUGUGGGGAGCAGAUACUGUCAUGGACCUUUCAACAGGGCGCCAUAUCCAUGAGACCCGGGAAUGGAUUAUUCGUAACUCCUCCGUUCCUAUUGGAACUGUUCCGAUUUACCAAGCACUUGAGAAAGUGAAUGGUAUCGCUGAAGACCUUAGCUGGGAAGUCUUCAGGGGCACUUUAAUUGAACAAGCCGAGCAGGGUGUUGACUACUUCACCAUCCAUGCUGGUGUGCUGCUUCGUUACAUUCCUCUCACAGCAAAGAGGAUGACUGGCAUAGUUUCACGCGGUGGAUCAAUCCAUGCAAAAUGGUGCUUGACGUGUCACAAGGAGAACUUUGCUUAUGAGCACUGGGAUGACAUUCUUGACAUAUGUAACCAGUAUGAUGUGGCAUUGUCAAUUGGUGAUGGCCUGAGGCCUGGUUCCAUUUAUGAUGCUAAUGACAGCGCUCAGUUUGCAGAACUGCUGACUCAAGGGGAACUAACUCGCCGAGCAUGGGAGAAAGAUGUGCAGGUGAUGAAUGAAGGUCCUGGGCAUAUUCCGAUGCAUAAAAUUCCUGAAAAUAUGGAGAAACAGCUAGAGUGGUGCAAUGAAGCACCUUUCUAUACGUUGGGUCCAUUGACAACUGAUAUUGCACCUGGUUAUGAUCACAUCACCUCAGCCAUUGGUGCCGCCAACAUUGGGGCUCUUGGCACCGCACUUCUCUGUUAUGUAACACCAAAGGAGCACCUUGGGUUGCCUAACAGGGAUGAUGUUAAGACAGGUGUGAUAUCCUACAAAAUCGCUGCUCAUGCUGCUGAUUUGGCAAAGCGUCACCCCUAUGCACAAGCAUGGGAUGAUGCACUAAGCAAGGCAAGGUUUGAGUUUAGAUGGUUGGACCAAUUUGCUUUAUCCCUGGAUCCAGUUACUGCAAUGUCUUUCCAUGAUGAAACACUGCCAUCUGACGGUGCCAAAGUAGCACAUUUCUGCUCAAUGUGUGGUCCCAAGUUUUGCUCGAUGAAAAUCACCGAGGAUAUUAGAAAGUAUGCUGAUGAACAUGGUUAUGGGACAGUAGAGGAAGCUGUGAGGCAAGGAAUGAGUGAGAUGAGUGCUGAAUUCUUGGCUGCAAGAAAAACAAUUAGUGGCGAACAACAUGGUGAAGCUGGAGGGGAAAUCUAUGUGCCAGAAAGCUACGUAGUUCAAAAAUAAGAUGUCCUUGGCAGCCGUCUGAUCGAGGUGAUGCAGAUUUGAUGGCCAGGCCGUUUGUCAGCAGCACUUCUACCAUCUUUUGUUAGGAGGUGGGGUGCUUGUAUUCCCAACAAUCUUAAGGCCCCUUGGCCUGGAUUGUUGCGAUAUGGGCUGAGAAAGUCCCUUUGAACCUGAACAGGAUAAUGCCUGCGAAGGGAGUGUGCAUUUCUAUUUUCAUGUUUCCCAGGAUACACUCAACCCUCAACAUUCUGGAAAUCGAGGGACCAGUUUUCCUGAAUGUGUGGAGCGCACCCACUGGAUAUGCAUGUUUCCUACUCUGACGCAACAUGGUAAUGUACACGAUUUCUUUAACCAGCAUACAUAUUGGCAUUUCUCCAAGAGGAGAGGAUAUUUAUAGGCAUAGUGUUAUCAUGGAACACCUCAAAUUUAGUCAUCAUGGAACACAUAAAAUUUACCCAUCACAUUUUUUUUUGAGAAAUCCCAUUACAUCUUGCAAAGCAUUGACAAUGUCCUGUGUAAUUUAAUUUUUACACCUAAUCAUGUACAUAUUCCUAUAGCAAAGUAUAAAAGAUGUAACUAGACUGAGAUUGGAAUGGUUAUGUACAUGCCACUUGUCAGUUGAGAACAAAAUCAACAACAGAACUCUUUUUGACUUGAUUAUGUAAAAUGUGUCUACUAAGAAUUAUUUUGUAGAGUGGCUGAGAUACUGCUUAUCGUGAACUAUUUCUUUGGUUGUUCCCAUUAUGAUUGUCAAACAUUUUCAAAUACAUCGUAAACUUUUUCACAUGGACGGUUUCAACUUUAAUCAUCCAUGCAUGAUAACUGUGUAUCCACACUGUCAAACUUGGCAGCACUUCAGUGCUAGACUGUUGGUCCUGCAUAGUUUAUGACAACAAGUCUCCUCCCAAAAGUUAAGGCAUUUCAUACUUGUUUGAUCUAGUGCUUAGUUCACGACCGCAGUUAGGCAUACUGGAGAAAUAUGGCAAAUCGGCGCACACCUGUCAGCUGCGCAAGCAUGGUGAAUAACACGCAUAAGCUUGUGAUGUACUACCUCUGUCCCAUAAUAUAAGAACGUUUUUGACACUAGUGUAGUGCCAAAAACGUUCUUAUAUUAUGGGACGGAGGGAGUAUCUAUUAUCAACCAUAAAGCCCCAUAUGUUUAUCCUUGGAUGCCAUUGUAUUGGCUAAGGACAUGAUUUUAGUUUUACCUUCUGAUGUGUGAGACACAUGUUUCUUAGUCGAUCUAUUACUUGCCCCUCCACUUUUGGUUGUGAAUUACAUGACCCAAUCAAAAUACCAUGACUGACGCCAAUUGUCGAGAGAAUUGUGGGUAAAACAUGUCAGAAAGGUGGUGCUGGUGGCUGGUCUUCCUGAGUUGAUAGUGGAUUUCGGGUCUGCCCUCCGAUGUGAUUGUGUUGGUAGGGUGUUGGUCUUGAAUUUUUAGAGAGCUGAGCUAUGCACAUAUUUUUUUUCUGAUACCGCGGCUAUAGUUUUCACUGUUGUUUUUCACCUUUGAAGUUCCAUACAAAGGGAUUCUUCACAUGUUCAGGUGUUAACUUGUACUUGUUUAAUCUAUAUUGAUAUGUGCCCUUCCUAUUUA